Molecule: ribosomal RNA, 353 nt
Filed under: Lactobacillus sp. GTS2
Lineage: Bacteria; Bacillati; Bacillota; Bacilli; Lactobacillales; Lactobacillaceae
Description: bacterial SSU rRNA
Rfam family: Bacterial small subunit ribosomal RNA
Source: RNAcentral
UGUAUUACCGCGGCUGCUGGCACGUAGUUAGCCGUGGCUUUCUGGUUAAAUACCGUCNAUACCUGAACAGUUACUCUUAGAUAUGUUCUUCUUUAACAACAGAGUUUUACGAGCCGAAACCCUUCUUCACUCACGCGGCGUUGCUCCAUCAGACUUUCGUCCAUUGUGGAAGAUUCCCCCUACUCCUACGGGAGGCAGCAGUAGGGAAUCUUCCACAAUGGACGAAAGUCUGAUGGAGCAACGCCGCGUGAGUGAAGAAGGGUUUCGGCUCGUAAAACUCUGUUGUUAAAGAAGAACAUAUCUGAGAGUAACUGUUCAGGUAUUGACGGUAUUUAACCAGAAAGCCACGGCUA